Non-coding RNA from Triticum aestivum (bread wheat), 114 nucleotides. Lineage: Eukaryota; Viridiplantae; Streptophyta; Magnoliopsida; Poales; Poaceae. The record is from Rfam.
CUACUACUCCCUCCGUCCGAAAAUACUUGUCAUUGAAUGGAUGUAUCUAGAUGUAUUUUAGUUCUAGACACAUCCAUUUUGAUGACAAGUAAUUCCGGACGGAGGGAGUAUUAU